UAUGUUUUUAUGCCCCACCUACGAUAGUAGAGGGGCAUUAUGUUUUCUGGUCUGUGCGUCCGUUCGUCCGUCCGUCUGUCCCGCUUCAGGUUAAAGUUUUUGGUCAAGGUAGUUUUUGAUGAAGUUGAAGUCCAAUCGACUUCAAACUUAGUAUACAUGUUCCCUAUGAUAUGAUCUUUUUAAUUUUAAUGCCAAAUUAGAGGGUUUAUCCCAAUUUCACGGUCCACUGAACAUAGAAAAUGAUAGUACGAGUGGGGCAUUCGUGUACUGGGGACACAUUCUUGUUUCAAUCUUUUUU
This 298-nucleotide long non-coding RNA is filed under the name Mytilus galloprovincialis (Mediterranean mussel). The record is from RNAcentral. Lineage: Eukaryota; Metazoa; Mollusca; Bivalvia; Mytilida; Mytilidae.